Molecule: ribosomal RNA, 430 nt
Filed under: Bacteroidota bacterium
Lineage: Bacteria; Pseudomonadati; Bacteroidota
Description: Bacteroidetes bacterium partial 16S ribosomal RNA
Rfam family: Bacterial small subunit ribosomal RNA
Source: RNAcentral
UAGGGAAUCUUCGGCAAUGGGGGGAACCCUGACCGAGCAACGCCGCGUGAGUGAAGAAGGUUUUCGGAUCGUAAAGCUCUGUUGUUAAGGAAGAACGAGUGUGAGAAUGGAAAGUUCAUACUGUGACGGUACUUAACCAGAAAGGGACGGCUAACUACGUGCCAGCAGCCGCGGUAAUACGUAGGUCCCGAGCGUUGUCCGGAUUUAUUGGGCGUAAAGCGAGCGCAGGCGGUCAAUUAAGUCUGAUGUGAAAGCCCCCGGCUCAACCGGGGAGGGUCAUUGGAAACUGGUUGACUUGAGUGCAGAAGAGGAGAGUGGAAUUCCAUGUGUAGCGGUGAAAUGCGUAGAUAUAUGGAGGAACACCAGUGGCGAAGGCGACUCUCUGGUCUGUAACUGACGCUGAGGCUCGAAAGCGUGGGGAGCGAACAGG